GGUUAAGCGACUAAGCGUACACGGUGGAUGCCCUGGCAGUCAGAGGCGAUGAAGGGCGUGCUAAUCUGCGAUAAGCGCCGGUAAGGUGAUAUGAACCGUUAUAACCGGCGAUACCCGAAUGGGGAAACCCAGUGUGAUUCGUCACACUAUCAUUACGUGAAUACAUAGCGUAAUGAAGCGAACCGGGGGAACUGAAACAUCUAAGUACCCCGAGGAAAAGAAAUCAACCGAGAUUCCCCCAGUAGCGGCGAGCGAACGGGGAGGAGCCCAGAGCCUGAAUCAGCAUGUGUGUUAGUGGAAGCGUCUGGAAAGGCGCGCGAUACAGGGUGACAGCCCCGUACACAAAAGCGCAUGUGCUGUGAGCUCGAUGAGUAGGGCGGGACACGUGGUAUCCUGUCUGAAUAUGGGGGGACCAUCCUCCAAGGCUAAAUACUCCUGACUGACCGAUAGUGAACCAGUACCGUGAGGGAAAGGCGAAAAGAACCCCGGCGAGGGGAGUGAAAAAGAACCUGAAACCGUGUACGUACAAGCAGUGGGAGCCCCACCACUAAGCCAGUGGUGAACUCCACAUACGCAUCCUUUGCUGAGGAUACGGUUAACGGAGCGAAAGCGACGUUCAACCGCAAAAGAAGCAGAGGGGGCUUAGUGGUGGGGUGACUGCGUACCUUUUGUAUAAUGGGUCAGCGACUUAUAUUCUGUAGCAAGGUUAACCGAAUAGGGGAGCCGCAGGGAAACCGAGUCUUAAUUGGGCGUUAAGUUGCAGGGUAUAGACCCGAAACCCGGUGAUCUAGCCAUGGGCAGGUUGAAGGUUGGGUAACACUAACUGGAGGACCGAACCGACUAAUGUUGAAAAAUUAGCGGAUGACCUGUGGCUGGGGGUGAAAGGCCAAUCAAACCGGGAGAUAGCUGGUUCUCCCCGAAAGCUAUUUAGGUAGCGCCUCGUGAAUUCAUCUCCGGGGGUAGAGCACUGUUUCGGCUAGGGGGCCAUCCCGGCUUACCAACCCGAUGCAAACUGCGAAUACCGGAGAAUGUUAUCACGGGAGACACACGGCGGGUGCUAACGUCCGUCGUGAAGAGGGAAACAACCCAGACCGCCAGCUAAGGUCCCAAAGUCAUGGUUAAGUGGGAAACGAUGUGGGAAGGCCCAGACAGCCAGGAUGUUGGCUUAGAAGCAGCCAUCAUUUAAAGAAAGCGUAAUAGCUCACUGGUCGAGUCGGCCUGCGCGGAAGAUGUAACGGGGCUAAACCAUGCACCGAAGCUGCGGCAGCGACGCUGAUGCGUUGUUGGGUAGGGGAGCGUUCUGUAAGCCUGUGAAGGUGUGUCGUGAGGCAUGCUGGAGGUAUCAGAAGUGCGAAUGCUGACAUAAGUAACGAUAAAGCGGGUGAAAAGCCCGCUCGCCGGAAGACCAAGGGUUCCUGUCCAACGUUAAUCGGGGCAGGGUGAGUCGACCCCUAAGGCGAGGCCGAAAGGCGUAGUCGAUGGGAAACGGGUUAAUAUUCCCGUACUUGGUGUUACUGCGAAGGGGGGACGGAGAAGGCUAUGUUGGCCGGGCGACGGUUGUCCCGGUUUAAGCGUGUAGGUGUGUGUUCCAGGUAAAUCCGGUUCACUUUAACACUGAGGCGUGAUGACGAGGCACUACGGUGCUGAAGCAACAAAUGCCCUGCUUCCAGGAAAAGCCUCUAAGCAUCAGGUAACAUCAAAUCGUACCCCAAACCGACACAGGUGGUCAGGUAGAGAAUACCAAGGCGCUUGAGAGAACUCGGGUGAAGGAACUAGGCAAAAUGGUGCCGUAACUUCGGGAGAAGGCACGCUGACACGUAGGUGAAGUGAUUUACUCACGGAGCUGAAGUCAGUCGAAGAUACCAGCUGGCUGCAACUGUUUAUUAAAAACACAGCACUGUGCAAACACGAAAGUGGACGUAUACGGUGUGACGCCUGCCCGGUGCCGGAAGGUUAAUUGAUGGGGUCAGCGCAAGCGAAGCUCCUGAUCGAAGCCCCGGUAAACGGCGGCCGUAACUAUAACGGUCCUAAGGUAGCGAAAUUCCUUGUCGGGUAAGUUCCGACCUGCACGAAUGGCGUAAUGAUGGCCAGGCUGUCUCCACCCGAGACUCAGUGAAAUUGAACUCGCUGUGAAGAUGCAGUGUACCCGCGGCAAGACGGAAAGACCCCGUGAACCUUUACUAUAGCUUGACACUGAACAUUGAGCCUUGAUGUGUAGGAUAGGUGGGAGGCUUUGAAGUGUGGACGCCAGUCUGCAUGGAGCCGACCUUGAAAUACCACCCUUUAAUGUUUGAUGUUCUAACGUGGACCCGUAAUCCGGGUUGCGGACAGUGUCUGGUGGGUAGUUUGACUGGGGCGGUCUCCUCCUAAAGAGUAACGGAGGAGCACGAAGGUUGGCUAAUCCUGGUCGGACAUCAGGAGGUUAGUGCAAUGGCAUAAGCCAGCUUGACUGCGAGCGUGACGGCGCGAGCAGGUGCGAAAGCAGGUCAUAGUGAUCCGGUGGUUCUGAAUGGAAGGGCCAUCGCUCAACGGAUAAAAGGUACUCCGGGGAUAACAGGCUGAUACCGCCCAAGAGUUCAUAUCGACGGCGGUGUUUGGCACCUCGAUGUCGGCUCAUCACAUCCUGGGGCUGAAGUAGGUCCCAAGGGUAUGGCUGUUCGCCAUUUAAAGUGGUACGCGAGCUGGGUUUAGAACGUCGUGAGACAGUUCGGUCCCUAUCUGCCGUGGGCGCUGGAGAACUGAGGGGGGCUGCUCCUAGUACGAGAGGACCGGAGUGGACGCAUCACUGGUGUUCGGGUUGUCAUGCCAAUGGCACUGCCCGGUAGCUAAAUGCGGAAGAGAUAAGUGCUGAAAGCAUCUAAGCACGAAACUUGCCCCGAGAUGAGUUCUCCCUGAGACUUAGAGUCUCCUGAAGGAACGUUGAAGACGACGACGUUGAUAGGCCGGGUGUGUAAGCGCAGCGAUGCGUUGAGCUAACCGGUACUAAUGAACCGUGAGGCUUAACCUU
RNAcentral lists this ribosomal RNA (3007 nucleotides) under Salmonella enterica. RNAcentral's name for it is "23S ribosomal RNA". It matches the Rfam family "Bacterial large subunit ribosomal RNA". The record is from RNAcentral. Lineage: Bacteria; Pseudomonadati; Pseudomonadota; Gammaproteobacteria; Enterobacterales; Enterobacteriaceae.